GAUGAACGCUGGCGGCGUGCCUAACACAUGCAAGUCGAACGGAGUCCAGCCUUAGAGACCUUCGGGUCAAAGAGGGGAAGACUGAGUGGCGGACGGGUGAGUAACACGUGGGCAACCUGGCUCAUAGAGGGGGAUAACAGAGAGAAAUUUCUGCUAAUACCGCAUAAGCACACACUGCCGCAUGGCAGAGUGUGAAAAGAGAAUCGCUAUGAGAUGGACCCGCGUCUGAUUAGCCAGUUGGCAGGGUAAGAGCCUACCAAAGCGACGAUCAGUAGCCGAUUUGAGAGGAUGAACGGCCACAUUGGGACUGAGACACGGCCCAAACUCCUACGGGAGGCAGCAGUGGGGGAUAUUGCACAAUGGGGGGAACCCUGAUGCAGCGACGCCGCGUGAGUGAAGAAGUAUUUCGGUAUGUAAAGCUCUAUCAGCAGGGAAGAUAAUGACAGUACCUGAAUAAGAAGCCCCGGCUAACUACGUG
This 478-nucleotide ribosomal RNA is filed under the name uncultured bacterium. Its description in RNAcentral is "partial 16S ribosomal RNA". It matches the Rfam family "Bacterial small subunit ribosomal RNA", at positions 28 to 507 of the family's 1533-position model. The record is from RNAcentral.